RNAcentral lists this unclassified non-coding RNA (977 nucleotides) under Hevea brasiliensis (rubber tree). Lineage: Eukaryota; Viridiplantae; Streptophyta; Magnoliopsida; Malpighiales; Euphorbiaceae. The record is from RNAcentral.
AACUGCCAAACUCUCCACCAUAUUCCUACUAACUGCCCCCUGCAUUGUUGUAAAUGGCACCACCGUCCCCAACUCAAUCCCAGACGGCGGAUUUACGGUGGUUCCUACCUUAGGAGCCAAGCUAGCAGCGGCAUCAGCGGCGGGGGGAGGCAGCCCCACUUAGCCACAAUUCUACCCAUAGGUCCACUACCCACUACUCUCUCCAGCUCCACCUUUAACUCCUUGGCAAGCUUCUUCGCAUAAGGCGAAGCCACUACUCUUUUCCCUCCCUCUGAUGCCGGGUGCACAGCAGAUCCCACAAUUGCUGCCGCCUUUGAAAUUGCAGGUCCCGCAGGCUCCGCAAUUUUCUCAGUCUGCGACGGUUCCGGUCCGGAGCACUACUACUAGUAGAUGCUGGCUGAGCAGCUGAUGAUGACGACGACGAGGCUUUGGACCUGGCCUCCGCAAUUUCCUCCUCAGUCUCAGCCAAUAAAGCAAUAGCAGAACCCACGGCAGCAACUCCGCCUUCUUCAACCAUAAUAGCAGCCAAGUAACCAUCAUAGAAAGUCUCAACAUCCAUGUCAGCCUUAUCAGACUCAACAACAACAACACUUUCACCCUUAGAAAGCUUAUCUCCCUCUGAUUUCACCCAAGAAACAAUCUUUCCCUCAGUCAUGGUGGAGCUCAAUGCCGGCAUGAAGAUCUCUCGGAUCUUGGCCUCCACCUGGGUUGUCCUGGAACGGUGAGUGGAAAUGUGUACGGAGGGAGAGCGAACAGUGGAUGCCCGGGGAAGAGAGGAUGGAAGGAAGGUGGUCUUGAGAAGCUGAGCCAUCUGGGAAUUGGAAGCAGCAAUGAGAGAGAGAGAGACAGAGAGGUUGUUACUUGAAAGUUGAAGGAGAGACAGGUGAUGGGAUUUAAGGGGGUUUUGUGUUUUGAUUAGCAGAGAAAUCUUGGAAACAUCGAAAGAGGGCGGAGGUCUCAACCACCUUACCUGUGCG